This 86-nucleotide transfer RNA is filed under the name uncultured Gemmatimonadota bacterium. RNAcentral describes it as "uncultured Gemmatimonadetes bacterium tRNA-Ser-TGA". It matches the Rfam family "tRNA". Rfam says of the family: Transfer RNA (tRNA) molecules are approximately 80 nucleotides in length. Their secondary structure includes four short double-helical elements and three loops (D, anti-codon, and T loops). Further hydrogen bonds mediate the characteristic L-shaped molecular structure. tRNAs have two regions of fundamental functional importance: the anti-codon, which is responsible for specific mRNA codon recognition, and the 3' end, to which the tRNAs corresponding amino acid is attached (by aminoacyl-tRNA synthetases). tRNAs cope with the degeneracy of the genetic code in two manners: having more than one tRNA (with a specific anti-codon) for a particular amino acid; and 'wobble' base-pairing, i.e. permitting non-standard base-pairing at the 3rd anti-codon position. Lineage: Bacteria; Pseudomonadati; Gemmatimonadota. The record is from RNAcentral.
GGAGGGCUAGUCUAAUUGGUAAGGCAGCUGACUUGAAAUCAGCCGACCGAAAGGUCUUCGGGGUUCGAGUCCCCGGCCCUCCGUCA